GUGCGCUGCUUCUGCUUCCGGUCGAAGCGCGGGUCUUAGACCGCGACGCGGGAAGCAACCUCAGGUUGGUUGGAGGGGCCGGGUGAGCCGGAGUGGUGUCCGGACCUGCGCCCCCGAGCCCUCGGACUAAGCUGGGCGGCCUCUGAGGGGCGCCGGGCGGAGAGCUGUCCUUACGACAGUGGCCGGAAGGGCGGCGUUUUGCGGCGGAGCCCGAAGAAGAGAGAGCGGCCUCCGCGAAGCCGGGCCGUCCGAGGAAGAAGACCCUUUAACUGAUUUUGUCCCAGACUCGACCGGCUCUCCGUUGUCAGUAGUGCUGCUGUUGCGGCAUCCAACUCAGGAGCACAGUCAUUCCUAGAAAAGCAUGAUGACUGUAGACCUGAAGGUGGCGGAGCACUUGAGCCCUCAAACCAGGCCUCUGUGGGAGGGCAAGGAACCUGUGACAGCGAGCGCCAGUCAGCGUAAGAACUAUGCCCCACAGCCAGCCAGUCUUAGUCCUGAGAAGUCUCACCAGCACUUCCGGAGUUUCCUCUAUCAUGAGGCAGCUGGACCCCGUGAGGCUGUUGUCCAGCUUCAGGAAUUAUGCCGCCAAUGGCUGAGGCCAGAGAUUCAUUCAAAAGAGCAGAUCUUGGAGCUGCUGGUGCUAGAGCAGUUUCUGACCAUUCUGCCCAGGGACACCCAGACCCAGAUAAAGAAGCACCAUCUACAGAGCAUCGAGGAGGCUGUGGUCCUGGUGGAACGCUUGCAGGGGGACUCUAGUCAAAGGCAGAAUGGGGUUGCAGUCCAUGAGCUGGCAAAGGCGGCCGUGCUCUUGGGAGAAACAGCAGAGGCCUCGGGCUUCAGGCCGAAGUCAGCAGAGUCCCAGCCAGUGGGAAUGUCCCCGGAGGAAGAAUUUGGGGGUGUACAGCAGGGCCUACAGGAACCGCUGAGCGGGAGCAGGCCCACAGAGACGGAGCCCGUGUGUGAGAGCGCAGUGCCUGCUCACCAGAUCCUAGCCUUUCCUGAACAGACAAACAGCAGAGACUGGACAGUGGCACCUGAGCUCGUCUUGCCCGAGGCCCAGAGCUUGUUGACAUUUGAAGAAGUAGCCAUAUAUUUUUCCCAGGAGGAAUGGGAGCUACUGGAUCCCACUCAGAAGGCCCUCUACAAUGAUGUAAUGCAUGAAAACUAUGAGACUGUCAUCUCUGUAGCAGUGCCUGCUCACCAGAUCCUAGCCUUUCCUGAACAGACAAACAGCAGAGACUGGACAGUGGCACCUGAGCUCGUCUUGCCCGAGGCCCAGAGCUUGUUGACAUUUGAAGAAGUAGCCAUAUAUUUUUCCCAGGAGGAAUGGGAGCUACUGGAUCCCACUCAGAAGGCCCUCUACAAUGAUGUAAUGCACGAAAACUAUGAGACUGUCAUCUCUCUAGCAUUGUUUGUGUUCCCCAAACCUAAAGUGAUCUCCUGCUUAGAACAUGAGGAAGUGCCGUGGAUUCAAGGAUCCCCACAGUUCAAGGACGAUAGUAGAGAUGUGCUUCCAGAGAUAAUGCUGAAAAAUGACCCUGAUGAUCAUCAAGCUAUGUAUCUUUCUGACUUAGAAAUACAAGCACCAGGAAAUGCAGUAUCAAAAAAAGCUAGAGCAGAUGUUCCCCAGAAAACAACGGGCAGAGAAACUCAUGGUGAUGUACAUAGGUUGGGGAAAUGGCACCAAGAUUUUCCAGUGAAGGAAGGAAAGAAUCUCUCAAACUGGUGGGAAGAAGAGCUGCUGAAACUUAUGGAGCUUCACAAGAAGGAACGUGCAGGGGAGAAGGCUUUUAAAUGCCAGGAAUGUGGGAAAAGCUUCAGAGUUAGCUCUGACCUUAUUAAACACCAGAGAAUUCACACCGAAGAGAAACCGUAUAAAUGUCAGCAGUGUGAUAAGAGAUUUAGGUGGAGGUCAGAUCUUAAUAAGCACCUAACAACACACCAAGGAAUAAAACCAUAUAGAUGUUCGUGGUGUGGGAAAAGCUUCAGUCAAAAUUCACAUCUCCACACACACCAGAGAACUCACACUGGAGAGAAGCCCUUUACAUGUCACGAAUGUGGGAAGAAAUUUAGUCAGAAUUCGCACCUUAUUAAACACCGGAGGACCCACCUGUAGCCCUGCAGGAGGAGCUUCAUUGUGUUCUCAGGACUUUUUCGAUGGCAGAAACUUUGACAGCAGUGAAGGAUGCAUGACCAGUGGCCUGAGACUGAAGAGAUAAUGAAACAGAGCUUGACACUAAAGUUAUGAAAAACACAAAGUUACAAAGCAUGAAGAAUUUACACCACUGGGAAAUUUGGUGAUAGAAGCAUGUUUCACAGAAAAGAAUCAGGGUUGACUGUGGAGGGGAAAGGAGAAGAUCCCAGUGUUUUGGCAACACCAUUCUCACUUGCUGCCAACAUCUGCCACGGCGAACACUACCUCGCCCGAGAGUUGAGGAAACGGCCCUUCACUUGUACAAAGCUGACACCCCAGGAAACAUCGCCCACCUUCAGAGCUCACGUGCACCCCGGGGUCAAGAACAGGAACCGCCAGUCCACCCAAGAAAGCAGAUAACAACUCUAAAACCUGGAUGGAGUAGAUCUAUGACAGCAGGGAUCUGGAGGAGAGCACCAGAACUCAAAGUACCAUGGGACUAAUGACUUACAGAAAAGCUGGAAGCGUGAUAUAAAGGACUUUGAUCUGCUAGAUCGUCUGAGAGGAAGCAGACAAAACAACACGCUGUCUCCCCCAAAUAUCCAUUGAUGGAGUAAGAGAAGGCGCCCUGACGGAGACUUGGGGACAGUGCCGAGAGGUUCAGAGCAUUAAAGCCAAGACGAGAUGAGCAGCAGGACGGUGAGAAGGAUGGAGCAGAUGGUGGUGAAAGCGGGGAUUCGUCCAAAAUGAAGUCGGUGAUGAGCUGAGCAGGGUCUAGCCCAGGACCCCAGAGGCGCUGGGCCGUUCCUAAGCUGACUGGUAAGGCAGCCCCUGAGAGAAAGGGCAGAAAUGAGGUAAAAGAGGAAAGCACGUGCAGCAGGAGGCCUGCAGGGCCCAGCUCUGGUUUUGGCUGUGACCACCCAUCCACCACCUCGGGCUGAGGAACCACAACAGGUGUGUGAAAAGGGUGACGGUCUCUAGGCCUUGACCAGUUGCUCUGGGUUGUGUAUGUAAGUGUUUGAUCCAUUCUAUGGAGGUGGUUAGGAAUCCUUGGGGGGAAAAUAGGUCCAUUGAAAAAUUGUAUCAAUUAGCUAUAAUGUUUCAGUGAUGAAGGGAGGUUUAUACACCCAUGGACAGCCCCAAGGUUAAAUGUACAGGGGAAGACUGCCUUUUAAUGGAUGCCUGAAGGACUGCAAUAAACCAGAGGUCUAAUUACACCUCAGAGGAAAUCAA
This is an RNA transcript of Phacochoerus africanus (Common warthog), 3367 nucleotides long. It is a transcript of the gene named zinc finger protein 75a, with no coding region annotated. NCBI's taxonomy places the organism in Eukaryota, Metazoa, Chordata, Mammalia, Artiodactyla, Suidae. The transcript has 14 exons. The record is from RefSeq and is a predicted model, not a curated record.